ACGGGGUGCAGCAGGCGCGAAACCUCUACAAUGUGCGAAAGCAUGAUAGGGGGACUCCAAGUGUCUCUCUAAAAAGAGACUUUUGUAGUAUGUAAAAAGUACUACGAAUAAGAGCUGGUCAAGACUAGUGCCAGCCUCCGCGGUAACACUGGCAGCUCGAGUGGUAGUCGUUUUUAUUUGGCUUAAAGCGUCCGUAGUCUGAUUAUUAAGUUCUCUGUGAAAUCCUGUUGCUUAACAAUAGGGCUUGCAGAGAAUACUAAUAAUCUUGGAGCCAGGAGGGGUUGUGGGUAUUCCUAGGGUAGCGGUGAAAUGCUAUAAUCCUAGGAGGACCACCGAUAGCGAAGGCACCCAACUAGAAUGGGCUCGACGAUGAGGGACGAAAGCUAGGGGAGCAAACAGGAUUAGAUACCCUGGUAGUCCUAGUUGUAAACGAUGUGGACUGAGUGUUUUUUGAACCUCGUGUUCAAGAAAUGUUGAAGGGAAACCGUUAAGUCCACCGCCUGGGGAGUACGGUCGCAAGGCUGAAACUCAACCUUUUUCUUUCUUUGAUAAAGAAAGACAAGAAAAAUUCCUUUUGGAAUUUUUGUGCCCAAGUUCCGCAAAGCGGAACUUCGGGAAAACGUUGACGAAAAAGAAAGAAACAUGCUGUUAAGCAUGGAUGAGGUUGAGCAGCAAACUUAAAGGAAUUGGCGGGGGAGCACCACAAGGGGUGGAGUCUGCAGUUCAAUUGGAUACAACCCCGAGAAACUUACCAGG
RNAcentral lists this ribosomal RNA (756 nucleotides) under uncultured archaeon. Its description in RNAcentral is "bacterial SSU rRNA". It matches the Rfam family "Archaeal small subunit ribosomal RNA", at positions 325 to 934 of the family's 1478-position model. The record is from RNAcentral.